Molecule: ribosomal RNA, 305 nt
Filed under: uncultured bacterium
Lineage: Bacteria
Description: bacterial SSU rRNA
Rfam family: Bacterial small subunit ribosomal RNA
Source: RNAcentral
UUUCCUACGGGGGGCAGCAGUGAGGAAUAUUGGUCAAUGGGCGAGAGCCUGAACCAGCCAAGUCGCGUGAGGGAAGACGGUCCUAUGGAUUGUAAACCUCUUUUGUCGGGGAGCAAAAAGGCCUCGUGAGGCCACAAGUGAGAGUACCCGAAGAAAAAGCAUCGGCUAACUCCGUGCCAGCAGCCGCGGUAAUACGGAGGAUGCGAGCGUUAUCCGGAUUUAUUGGGUUUAAAGGGUGCGUAGGCGGGCUUUUAAGUCAGCGGUAAAAAUUCGGGGCUCAACCCCGUCCGGCCGUUGAAACUGGG